Solanum verrucosum is the source of this 265-nucleotide long non-coding RNA. RefSeq lists it as uncharacterized. NCBI's taxonomy places the organism in Eukaryota, Viridiplantae, Streptophyta, Magnoliopsida, Solanales, Solanaceae. The record is from RefSeq and is a predicted model, not a curated record. The transcript has 3 exons.
GUCUCAUGUAUCUCCAGGAGAACUAUGCUGGUGGCUUCAACAUCUCUGUUCGUGUCACCAUUUCCGAUAUUGAAGCAACAAGGAGAAAUUGCAAGCCUUGUGGCAUAAACCUAAUACCCUAUCCAUUAAGCAGUGGACCAAAUUGUGGUGACCCUUUGUAUUAUAGUUUCUCAUGUGAUGAUUUAGUUGGUCAGGACCGGUGACAGGAAUUUCUUGGUUCAACCAGUCAUCACCUUUUAAGGUGAUAAACUGGUGUUUCAAUCCC